UACGUAGGGACCAAGCGUUGUUCGGAUUUACUGGGCGUAAAGGGCGCGUAGGCGGCCAUGCGUGUCUCCCGUGAAAUCCCUCGGCUCAACCGAGGACGUGCGGAAGAAACUGCAAGGCUCGAGUCCGGAAGAGGGGGGCGGAAUUCCCAGUGUAGCGGUGAAAUGCGUAGAUAUUGGGAGGAACACCAGUGGCGAAGGCGGUCCCCUGGGCCGGAACUGACGCUGAGGCGCGAAAGCGUGGGUAGCAAACGGG
RNAcentral lists this ribosomal RNA (253 nucleotides) under uncultured bacterium. Its description in RNAcentral is "partial 16S ribosomal RNA". It matches the Rfam family "Bacterial small subunit ribosomal RNA", at positions 524 to 776 of the family's 1533-position model. The record is from RNAcentral.